This 494-nucleotide ribosomal RNA is filed under the name uncultured bacterium. RNAcentral's name for it is "partial 16S ribosomal RNA". It matches the Rfam family "Bacterial small subunit ribosomal RNA", at positions 28 to 507 of the family's 1533-position model. The record is from RNAcentral.
GACGAACGCUGGCGGCGUGCUUAACACAUGCAAGUCGAACGGUGAAGCGCCUUCCUUUUUGGUGGGUGUGGAUGAGUGGCGAACGGGUGAGUAACACGUGAGUAACCUGCCCCCUUCUUCUGGAUAACCGCAUGAAAGUGUGGCUAAUACAGGAUAUUCUGGGUCUGUCGCAUGAUGGGUCUGGGAAAGACUUUGUGUCGGUGGGGGAUGGGCUCGCGGCCUAUCAGCUUGUUGGUGGGGUGAUGGCCUACCAAGGCGGUGACGGGUAGCCGGCCUGAGAGGGUCGACGGUCACACUGGGACUGAGACACGGCCCAGACUCCUACGGGAGGCAGCAGUGGGGAGUAUUGCACAAUGGGCGCCAGCCUGAUGCAGCGCCGCCGCGUGAGGGAUGGAGGCCUUCGGGUUGUGAACCUCUUUCGCCAGUGAAGCAGGCCUGCCUCGUUUGUGGGUGGGUUGACGGUAGCUGGAUAAGAAGCGCCGGCUAACUACGUG